This 468-nucleotide ribosomal RNA is filed under the name uncultured bacterium. RNAcentral describes it as "partial 16S ribosomal RNA". It matches the Rfam family "Bacterial small subunit ribosomal RNA", at positions 28 to 507 of the family's 1533-position model. The record is from RNAcentral.
GACGAACGCUGGCGGCGUGCUUAACACAUGCAAGUCGAACGGAAAGGCCCUGCUUUUGUGGGGUGCUCGAGUGGCGAACGGGUGAGUAACACGUGAGUAACCUGCCCUUGACUUUGGGAUAACUUCAGACAACUGGGGCUAAUACCGGAUAGGAGCUCCUGCUGCAUGGUGGGGGUUGGAAAGUUUCGGCGGUUGGGGAUGGACUCGCGGCUUAUCAGCUUGUUGGUGGGGUAGUGGCUUACCAAGGCUUUGACGGGUAGCCGGCCUGAGAGGGUGACCGGCCACAUUGGGACUGAGAUACGGCCCAGACUCCUACGGGAGGCAGCAGUGGGGAAUAUUGCACAAUGGGCGGAAGCCUGAUGCAGCAACGCCGCGUGCGGGAUGACGGCCUUCGGGUUGUAAACCGCUUUCGCCUGUGACGAAGCGUGAGUGACGGUAAUGGGUAAAGAAGCACCGGCUAACUACGUG